This 697-nucleotide small RNA is filed under the name Cryptococcus neoformans H99. RNAcentral's name for it is "Cryptococcus neoformans var. grubii H99 hypothetical RNA". The record is from RNAcentral. Lineage: Eukaryota; Fungi; Basidiomycota; Tremellomycetes; Tremellales; Cryptococcaceae.
CUCAACGUGUCCACGUCUCCUGCAAGUUCCCAAUCAGCUUUCAAUCAAUGACCUAUAUCCUUUCGGUCUAUAAGCGCGCACGUUAAUCCUCGGCACUAGUGAUCGACUAUCCAUCACAUAUUAGCACUCAGGCACCUUCUUCGCCUCCUCGGACGCCAUGGAGCAAAUUAUGAUGAAGCAACGAUCAGCCAAUAUGAUGACUGAGACUGUUCAUGAAGCAUUGUGUGGUGUUCUAUUCAACAGCAUCGAUUCCGCCUCAGGAGUCAACAGCCUCUAUUACCUAUGCUUUAUCGACCCUGUCACCAGCGCAAUGUAUCAUGCUCGCCGAAUUCAAGCAUCGAUACGCUCCCUUGCUCAUCUCUAUCAUUUCGAAAUUCGAAAGGUGUGAUUCAACAAGCUCAUUUUUGACACCUCAUCCAGCCAUUUUCAACCAGCACUCUUGGAAAUUCGUCAAGACGUUCCCAAUGUAACGGAAAUUCAUUCCUGACUGUCUUUGUUCAUUUCUGCAUGGUGCAGCAAGGAGAAGUCGGAGUUUUCCCCUUAUUUCAUGGGCUGUAUGGUGUCUUAUAUAUCCAAAGCCAGAACCCCUGGAUGAUGGUAGAUGAUGGAGAGCAUUGAGUCAUGUGGGAACUCGAUGAUGCAAUGUUCCUGGAGUCAGGUGGUCUGAUUUCAUGUGUGAUGCCAUUCUCAUCCCUAC